GCUCAGCUCAGUCGGUACAGCAUGAGACUCUUAAUCUCAGGGUCGUGGGUUUGAGACCCACGUUGGGCG
This 69-nucleotide transfer RNA is filed under the name Erinaceus europaeus (western European hedgehog). It matches the Rfam family "tRNA". From Rfam's summary of the family: Transfer RNA (tRNA) molecules are approximately 80 nucleotides in length. The record is from Rfam by way of RNAcentral. Lineage: Eukaryota; Metazoa; Chordata; Mammalia; Eulipotyphla; Erinaceidae.